Molecule: long non-coding RNA, 827 nt
Organism: Canis lupus familiaris (dog)
Lineage: Eukaryota; Metazoa; Chordata; Mammalia; Carnivora; Canidae
Exons: 3
Source: RefSeq, a predicted model, not a curated record
CAGCACUUUUCUGCCACUGCUCCCUGUUGCACUCUGCCAAGUUAGGAUACAGGGCCGAGCAGCACCAGGAGCAGACUACCAGGUGGAAGGAGGCAGGAGGAAAGAUUACUUUCAGAAGGCUGUGCAUAUCCUAAGGAAGUGAAUGCAAGACAGGCAAGUUGUUGAGUCUACGAGUUUUUCUGUGUAUUUCUGAUCUUUGUUACUGAAGGCAUCUUGUCAUCAUAAUAAAAACCUCUAGGACCAGUCCAGCCAUAACAUUGGCUCUGAAAGGCAAAGUUGGGCUCAGUGAUAUCAUUGUAAAACUAAAGGCCAAGAAUGCGACUAAAAGGACUGUGUGUGGAACAUUCUGUCCUUGGACUGAAAUUUCUUUGGAAACAUAAGCAAGAACAGAAGUAUUUUGCAAAACAUGUUUCAAGUUAGCUUUCAAAACAAGAACAGAGGCAAAAUUAGAACAAAAAGGAAGAAAAUCAACAAUGAUGUUAAAUUUUAUGUAUUUAUUUGACUAAAGUUAUGGUGCUCAGUUGUUUGGUCAAACUCUGGUUUAGAUGUUACUGUAAAGGUAUUUCUGUAGAUAUGAUUACCAUCUGCAGUUAGCUAACUUUAAGUAAAGGAGAUCACCUUUGACAACGUCAGAUGAAUCUCAUUCAACAAGCUUUUUUGCCUUAAGAGCAAAAUCUGAGGUUUCCAGGAGAAGGAAUUCUACAUUAAGAUAACAACACAAUUUUUCCUGAGUUUCCAUGCUGCUGGCCUGUCUGACAAGUUUCAGACCUACUAGCUCCUAUAAUCACAUGAACAAAUCACUUAAAAUAAAUCUCAUAAUAUAUGUA